This 248-nucleotide ribosomal RNA is filed under the name uncultured bacterium. Its description in RNAcentral is "partial 16S ribosomal RNA". It matches the Rfam family "Bacterial small subunit ribosomal RNA", at positions 524 to 776 of the family's 1533-position model. The record is from RNAcentral.
UACGUAGGUGGCAAGCGUUGUCCGGAAUUAUUGGGCGUAAAGCGCGCGCAGGCGGUCCUUUAAGUCUGAUGUGAAGCCCACGGCUCAACCGUGGAGGGUCAUUGGAAACUGGGGGACUUGAGUGCAGGAGAGAAGAGUGGAAUUCCACGUGUAGCGGUGAAAUGCGUGAGAUGUGGAGAACACCAGUGGCGAAGGCGACUCUUGGCCUGUAACUGACGCUGAGGCGCGAAAGCGUGGGGAGAAACAGG